AGUUUCGAAUCAUUCACAAUGGGCGCAAGCCUGAUGAUGCAACGCCGCGUGGGGGAUGAAGGCCCUAGGGUUGUAAACCCCUGUCACUGAGGAGCAAAACCUAGAUUCAUAGUCUAGUUUGAGUUAACUCAGAGAGGAAGCAGUGGCAAACUCCGUGCCAGCAGCCGCGGUAAUACGGAGACUGCAAGCGUUACUCGGAAUUACUGGGCGUAAAGGGUGCGCAGGCGGCUAGGUGUGUCAGAUGUGAAAUCUCGAAGCUUAACUUCGGGGCUGCGUUUGAAACUGCCUGGCUAGAGUUUUGGAGAGGCAGGCGGAAUUUCUGGUGUAGCGGUGGAAUGCGUAGAUAUCAGAAGGAACACCAAUGGCGAAGGCAGCUUGCUGGACAAAUACUGACGCUCAUGCACGAAAGCGUGGGGAGCAAAAAGGAUUAGAUACCCUUGUAGUCCACGCCGUAAACUUUGUACACUCGAUUUUGGGACAUUCGACCGUUUCAGAGUCUAAGCUAACGCGAUAAGUGUACCGCCUGAGGACUACGGUCGCAAGACUAAAACUCAAAGGAAUUGACGGGGGCCCGCACAAGCGGUGGAGCAUGUGGCUUAAUUCGAUGUUACGCGAAGAACCUUACCUAGGCUUGACAUACACUGGACAGUUUGCGAAAGCAAAUCUUCCUUCGGGACCGGUGAACAGGUGCUGCAUGGCUGUCGUCAGCUCGUGUCGUGAGAUGUUCGGUUAAGUCCGGCAACGAGCGCAACCCUUGUCUUUAGUUGCCAGCGGGUAAUGCCGGGGACUCUAGAGAGACAAACCGUUAAGGUGGGAAGGAGAGGAUGACGUCAAGUCAGCAUGGCCCUUACGUCUAGGGCUGCACACGUGCUACAAUGCCCAGUACAAUGAGAAGCAAUCUCGCGAGAGGGAGCAAAUCUAUAAAACUGGGCCCAGUUCAGAUUGAAGUCUGCAAUUCGACUUCAUGAAGUCGGAAUCGCUAGUAAUGGCGCAUCAGCUACGGCGCCGUGAAUACGUUCUCGGGCCUUGUACACACCGCCCAUCACGUCCUGAAAGCCGGUUUUACCCGAAGCGCAUGAGCUAACCUUCACAGGGGGCAGUGUUCUAAGGUGGGGUUGGUGAUUGGGACGAAGUCGUAACAAGGUAACCGUA
Molecule: ribosomal RNA, 1152 nt
Filed under: uncultured Verrucomicrobiota bacterium
Lineage: Bacteria; Pseudomonadati; Verrucomicrobiota
Description: bacterial SSU rRNA
Rfam family: Bacterial small subunit ribosomal RNA
Source: RNAcentral